CACCCACAGUGCUCCUCCGACGCUUUUCAGGGGAAGUCCCGAUCGGCCCCACAUUUCAUUGAUAUUCCAAGUCUCUAAUGCGGCCGUGGCACAGGUGACAGACUGCCUCAGGGGAAAUUCAGGUUCACUCAGUCUACAGUACAACAAUCAUCACAAACACAACUGCAACAGAUGCUGCAUCAGAUGCAGUUGUGUGCCCUUCCUGCUCCUCCUGGUUCUCACAGUCCAGACACGCACAGCAGCCGUCCACCAGACACAAGUGUUCGAGAGGAAGUUGAUGAACCUCAAUAGUCCGUCAAUGUCGUGGAGGGGAUCCACCAGACG
Long non-coding RNA from Siniperca chuatsi (mandarin fish), 324 nucleotides. RefSeq lists it as uncharacterized. The transcript has 3 exons. The record is from RefSeq and is a predicted model, not a curated record. NCBI's taxonomy places the organism in Eukaryota, Metazoa, Chordata, Actinopteri, Centrarchiformes, Sinipercidae.